UAACCUGCCCUUAACUCUGGGAUAAGCCUGGGAAACUGGGUCUAAUACCGGAUAUGACUCCUCAUCGCAUGGUGGGGGGUGGAAAGCUUUAUUGUGGUUUUGGAUGGACUCGCGGCCUAUCAGCUUGUUGGUGAGGUAAUGGCUCACCAAGGCGACGACGGGUAGCCGGCCUGAGAGGGUGACCGGCCACACUGGGACUGAAACACGGCCCAAACUCCUACGGGAGGCAGCAGUGGGGAAUAUUGCACAAUGGGCGAAAGCCUGAUGCAGCGACCCCGCGUGAGGGAUGACGGCCUUCGGGUUGUAAACCUCUUUCAGUAGGGAAGAAGCGAAAGUGACGGUACCUGCAGAAAAAGCGCCGGCUAACUACGUGCCAGCAGCCGCGGUAAUACGUAGGGCGCAAGCGUUAUCCGGAAUUAUUGGGCGUAAAGAGCUCGUAGGCGGUUUGUCGCGUCUGCCGUGAAAGUCCGGGGCUCAACUCCGGAUCUGCGGUGGGUACGGGCAGACUAGAGUGAUGUAGGGGAGACUGGAAUUCCUGGUGUAGCGGUGAAAUGCGCAGAUAUCAGGAGGAACACCGAUGGCGAAGGCAGGUCUCUGGGCAUUAACUGACGCUGAGGAGCGAAAGCAUGGGG
This 632-nucleotide ribosomal RNA is filed under the name Arthrobacter sp. B33_2. RNAcentral describes it as "bacterial SSU rRNA". It matches the Rfam family "Bacterial small subunit ribosomal RNA", at positions 122 to 766 of the family's 1533-position model. Lineage: Bacteria; Bacillati; Actinomycetota; Actinomycetes; Micrococcales; Micrococcaceae. The record is from RNAcentral.